RNAcentral lists this ribosomal RNA (468 nucleotides) under uncultured Glomus. Its description in RNAcentral is "SSU rRNA". It matches the Rfam family "Eukaryotic small subunit ribosomal RNA", at positions 583 to 1056 of the family's 1831-position model. The record is from RNAcentral. Lineage: Eukaryota; Fungi; Glomeromycota; Glomeromycetes; Glomerales; Glomeraceae.
UUCCAGCUCCAAUAGCGUAUAUUAAAGUUGCUGCAGUUAAAAAGCUCGUAGUUGAAUUUCGGGACCAAUAUGUCGGUCGUGCUUUUGUACGUACUGAUAUAAUUGGUUUCUCCCUUCUGAAGAACCUUGAUGUCAUUAAUUUGGUGUCUUGGGGAAUCAGGACUGUUACUUUGAAAAAAUUAGAGUGUUUAAAGCAGGCUCGCGCUUGAAUACAUUAGCAUGGAAUAAUGAAAUAGGACGUUCGAUCCUAUUUUGUUGGUUUCUAGGAUUGACGUAAUGAUUAAUAGGGAUAGUUGGGGGCAUUAGUAUUCAAUUGUCAGAGGUGAAAUUCUUGGAUUUAUUGAAGACUAACUACUGCGAAAGCAUUUGCCAAGGGUGUUUUCAUUAAUCAAGAACGAAAGUUAGGGGAUCGAAGACGAUCAGAUACCGUCGUAGUCUUAACCAUAAACUAUGCCGACUAGGGAUCGG